UACGGAGGGUGCGAGCGUUGUCCGGAAUUAUUGGGCGUAAAGAGCGUGUAGGCGGUUCGGUAAGUCUGUCGUGAAAUCCUGGGGCUCAACCUCGGGCGUGCGAUGGAUACUGCCGGGCUAGAGGGUGGUAGAGGCGAGUGGAAUUCCCGGUGUAGCGGUGAAAUGCGCAGAUAUCGGGAGGAACACCAGUAGCGAAGGCGGCUCGCUGGGCCACACCUGACGCUGAGACGCGAAAGCUAGGGGAGCGAACAGG
RNAcentral lists this ribosomal RNA (253 nucleotides) under uncultured bacterium. Its description in RNAcentral is "partial 16S ribosomal RNA". It matches the Rfam family "Bacterial small subunit ribosomal RNA", at positions 524 to 776 of the family's 1533-position model. The record is from RNAcentral.